UGUUUGAAAGAUGGCUUUGGCUAUCACUCUGGGAUGGACCUGCGGUGCAUUAGCUAGUUGGUAAGGUAACGGCUUACCAAGGCGAUGAUGCAUAGCCGAGUUGAGAGACUGAUCGGCCACAAUGGAACUGAGACACGGUCCAUACUCCUACGGGAGGCAGCAGUAGGGAAUCUUCCACAAUGGGCGCAAGCCUGAUGGAGCAACACCGCGUGAGUGAAGAAGGGUUUCGGCUCGUAAAGCUCUGUUGUUGGAGAAGAACGUGCGUGAGAGUAACUGUUCACGCAGUGACGGUAUCCAACCAGAAAGUCACGGCUAACUACGUGCCAGCAGCCGCGGUAAUACGUAGGUGGCAAGCGUUAUCCGGAUUUAUUGGGCGUAAAGCGAGCGCAGGCGGUUGCUUAGGUCUGAUGUGAAAGCCUUCGGCUUAACCGAAGAAGUGCA
Molecule: ribosomal RNA, 441 nt
Filed under: Limosilactobacillus reuteri
Lineage: Bacteria; Bacillati; Bacillota; Bacilli; Lactobacillales; Lactobacillaceae
Description: bacterial SSU rRNA
Rfam family: Bacterial small subunit ribosomal RNA
Source: RNAcentral